This 484-nucleotide ribosomal RNA is filed under the name uncultured bacterium. RNAcentral describes it as "partial 16S ribosomal RNA". It matches the Rfam family "Bacterial small subunit ribosomal RNA", at positions 28 to 523 of the family's 1533-position model. The record is from RNAcentral.
GAUGAACGCUGGCGGCGUGCUUAACACAUGCAAGUCGAACGAUGAAGCCGGAGCUUGCUCUGGUGAAUUAGUGGCGAACGGGUGAGUAACACGUGAGUAACCUGCCCUUGACUCUGGGAUAACUGCGGGAAACUGUAGCUAAUACCGGAUACGACCCUCGGAGGCAUCUCCUGGGGGUGGAAAGAAUUUCGGUCAAGGAUGGACUCGCGGCCUAUCAGCUAGUUGGUGAGGUAAAGGCUCACCAAGGCGACGACGGGUAGCCGGCCUGAGAGGGUGACCGGCCACACUGGGACUGAGACACGGCUCAGACUCCUACGGGAGGCAGCAGUGGGGAAUAUUGCAUAAUGGGCGCAAGCCUGAUGCAGCAACGCCGCGUGAGGGAUGACGGCCUUCGGGUUGUAAACCUCUUUUAGCAGGGAAGAAGCGAAAGUGACGGUACCUGCAGAAAAAGCACCGGCUAACUACGUGCCAGCCGCCGCCGUAA